Molecule: long non-coding RNA, 314 nt
Organism: Notothenia coriiceps (black rockcod)
Lineage: Eukaryota; Metazoa; Chordata; Actinopteri; Perciformes; Nototheniidae
Exons: 3
Source: RefSeq, a predicted model, not a curated record
UUACAACCAGUAUGUGUUUGGGAGACGGAGACUUCUGCUACUUUGCUAAGCAUUGAGCUUUAAUUCAAUCUUAAAAGGUAGACGCCACAGAAAGUGUCCUGUGCACUGCUUCAGCCCUUUGACCAGGAGCCACCGCUGGCACGGCAGAGCCCAGUGGACAGGAGGAGAGGGAGGGAUCUGAAGAGGAGUGCCCGGACCGAUCGUCUACAGCACCGGCUUGCAGCAUGGGUGAAGAAGGGCCUCCCAGUCUGGAGUACAUCAAGGCCAAGGACCUGUUCCCCCAGAAGGAGCUGGUGAAGGAGGAUGAAAGCCUU